Molecule: ribosomal RNA, 497 nt
Filed under: uncultured bacterium
Lineage: Bacteria
Description: partial 16S ribosomal RNA
Rfam family: Bacterial small subunit ribosomal RNA
Source: RNAcentral
GAUGAACGCUGGCGGCGUGCCUAACACCUGCAAGUCGAGCGAACAGACGAGGCGCUUGCUCCUUUCUCGUUAGCGGCGCACGGGUGAGUAACGAGAGGAAAACCCACCUAUUAGACUGGCAUAACUCCGGGAAGCGGGCGCUAAAAGCGCAUCAUAUAUUGAUCCGCUUGGUCCAAUGGUCAUAGACGGUUUUGCGGUCACUUAUCGUCGGACCCCCGCCGCUUUAGCUAGUUGGUAAGGUAACGGCUUACCAAGGGAACGAUGCGUAGCCGACCUGAGAGGGUGAUCGGCCACACUGGAACUGAGACACGGUCCAGACUCCUACGGGAGGCAGCAGUAGGGAAUCUGGCGCAAUGGGCGAAAGCCUGACGGAGCAACGCCGCGUGAGUGAUGAAGGUCUUCGGAUCGUAAAACUCUGUUAUUAGGGAAGAACAAAUGUGUAAGUAACUAUGCACAUCUUGACGGUACCUAGUCAAAAAGCCACGGCUAACUACGUG